UCCUCCUUAGCUCAGUUGGUUAGAGCAUCUGACUGUUAAUAAGAGGGUCCUUGGUUCGAGUCCAAGAGGGGGAG
RNAcentral lists this transfer RNA (74 nucleotides) under Lutibacter sp. RNAcentral describes it as "tRNA-Asn". It matches the Rfam family "tRNA". Rfam says of the family: Transfer RNA (tRNA) molecules are approximately 80 nucleotides in length. Their secondary structure includes four short double-helical elements and three loops (D, anti-codon, and T loops). The record is from RNAcentral. Lineage: Bacteria; Pseudomonadati; Bacteroidota; Flavobacteriia; Flavobacteriales; Flavobacteriaceae.